Molecule: long non-coding RNA, 279 nt
Organism: Humulus lupulus (European hop)
Lineage: Eukaryota; Viridiplantae; Streptophyta; Magnoliopsida; Rosales; Cannabaceae
Exons: 3
Source: RefSeq, a predicted model, not a curated record
GAACCGACCACUCUCCCUCUCUCAUUCACUAUCAUCUUUUUUGAAAACUCUCUCAAAGUUUUCUCUCAAUGUUCAACCUCAAGAACACCAAGGAAACUUGGAGGCUAAGUCUUGGUCUAGGAAGUAUUUUCCCUAAGGGUUUUUGAAAGGUUUUGGAGGAGCCAAAGCUAAUAGGAAGGUCCAAACCUUAAGCAAGAACACCAAAAAGCAUUGGCUAAGCAUAACUGGACUGAACGUUUGAAGGUGAAAACCUGCUGAGCGCUAAGGACUCCAAGUAAG